This is a non-coding RNA of Podarcis lilfordi (Lilford's wall lizard), 68 nucleotides long. Lineage: Eukaryota; Metazoa; Chordata; Lepidosauria; Squamata; Lacertidae. The record is from the annotation of a GenBank genome assembly.
GCAUAGCUUAGUCAAUACAGCAUGAGACUCUAAUCUCAAGGUUGUGGGUUCGAGCCCCACGUUGGGUA